GAGUCCUUGGUUUUGCCUCAGUAUCUGGUGCUGUGUUAGUCAGCCCUGAGGUUUGGAAUGCUGUGAUUUUGUUCCUGGCUUCCCUGGGAGCCCCCCUCUUGCUGUGUUGUCUAGAAGUAGUGAGAGCAGGAAUCCUUGACUUGUUUUUCUGUCAUGGAGACAGGGUUUUGUUCUUCAGUGUUCCAGUGUGUCAUGAUAAGAUUAGGGCUUUAGCCCUUCUGACCCUUAGAUUUAUCAUUUCUGGGUGUCUGUGGACUACUCCCCAUGCUUUAUUAUGAAAUGCACAGUGACAUGUUUUGCACUACAUGCUCUGGACACUCUACUGUUCUGGAGAGCAGUCCUGCUGGCCCCUCCUGAGAGUAUUUUAGUACCUGAUACACAGUCUGCUCUUCCAGUCCUGCCCUGUCCCUUCUCCUCUCUCUUCCUUGCUUCUGGUGACUACUCUUGUACUUUCUGUGAACUCAACUUGUAGCUUCUCUGAGUGAGUUUGUACACACAGAUGUCUCUUUGUGCCUGGAUUGUUCCACUCAGUGUGGUGUCCAUAGUUUCAGUCUCAUUGCUGCAAACCAUAGGACUGAAAGCCAUUUGGUGAAAUCAAGUUCAUCUAUUCUUUCAUGAAUCACAUGGAUGGAACAAUAUCCCCCAAACCAUUCCCAAAUCCAUUGUUGUGAGAUUGUGCUCUAGUGUUGUGAGAUUGUGCUCUGCAUUGUCUUCUAAGAAUGGGUGAGGUUCACCUCUUCAGGGCUUUGGUCCAUGUGGAUUUCAUGUAGGCAUGUGCCGUGAGGGGAGGGUCUGACUUCAUGCAUCGACAUGAACACACAGUUUCCCAGCCAUUCAUUUUCUUGAAUUUUUUGUUUGCUGUGCAACAUUUUUUUCUUCUUUUUCUGCAUGGGUCAGCAGUGUCCUGGUCCCCCAUUUUCCCCUAUUGUUGUAUAUGUCUGCCUUUAAACCAGUGCUACUCUGUCUUUGUUAGUAUACUUGGAGGAGGUUUUGAAAGCUGGAAAUGUGGUGCUCUGCAGUUUAUUUUUUUUUCUUCUGUUGUUAAUUUUCUUGUGUUUCCAUGUGAACAUUAGAAUGAUACUUCUUACUUUUAUGUAAAAAAUGUCAUUGUUAUUUAGAAAGUGAUUGAACUGACUUCAUGGUUAAUUUUUGUGUAGA
Molecule: long non-coding RNA, 1158 nt
Filed under: Marmota monax (woodchuck)
Lineage: Eukaryota; Metazoa; Chordata; Mammalia; Rodentia; Sciuridae
Source: RNAcentral